This 471-nucleotide ribosomal RNA is filed under the name uncultured bacterium. RNAcentral's name for it is "bacterial SSU rRNA". It matches the Rfam family "Bacterial small subunit ribosomal RNA", at positions 335 to 795 of the family's 1533-position model. The record is from RNAcentral.
ACUCCUACGGGAGGCAGCAGUGGGGAAUAUUGCACAAUGGGCGCAAGCCUGAUGCAGCCAUGCCGCGUGUGUGAAGAAGGCCUUCGGGUUGUAAAGCACUUUUAGUCGUGAGGAAGGUGGUGUAGUUAAUAGCUGCAUUAUUUGACGUUAGCGACAGAAGAAGCACCGGCUAACUCCGUGCCAGCAGCCGCGGUAAUACGGAGGGUGCGAGCGUUAUCCGGAUUUAUUGGGUUUAAAGGGUCCGUAGGCGGGUUAAUAAGUCAGUGGUGAAAUCCCAUCGCUUAACGAUGGAACUGCCAUUGAUACUGUUAGUCUUGAAUGAGGGUGCAGUGGUUGGAAUGUGUAGUGUAGCGGUGAAAUGCAUAGAUAUUACACAGAACACCGAUUGCGAAGGCAGAUCACUAACCCUAAAUUGACGCUGAGGGACGAAAGCGUGGGGAGCGAACAGGAUUAGAUACCCUGUAGACUGUC